This 128-nucleotide microRNA precursor is filed under the name Myotis davidii. RNAcentral's name for it is "mir-9193 microRNA precursor family". Lineage: Eukaryota; Metazoa; Chordata; Mammalia; Chiroptera; Vespertilionidae. The record is from Rfam by way of RNAcentral.
UGUGCACCAGUGGGGUCCCUCAGCCUGGCCUGCACCCUCUCACAAUCCGGGACUCCUCGGGGGGAUAUUGGACUGCUGAUUUAGGCCCGAUCCUUGCAGGCCAGGCUGAGGGACCCCACUAGUGCAUG